This 253-nucleotide ribosomal RNA is filed under the name uncultured bacterium. RNAcentral's name for it is "partial 16S ribosomal RNA". It matches the Rfam family "Bacterial small subunit ribosomal RNA", at positions 524 to 776 of the family's 1533-position model. The record is from RNAcentral.
UACGGGGGGGGCAAGCGUUGUUCGGAAUUACUGGGCGUAAAGGGCUCGUAGGCGGCCAACUAAGUCGGAUGUGAAAUCCCCAGGCUUAACCUGGGAACUGCAUCCGAUACUGGAUGGCUUGAGUUUGGGAGAGGGACGCGGAAUUCCAGGUGUAGCGGUGAAAUGCGUAGAUAUCUGGAGGAACACCGGUGGCGAAGGCGGCGUCCUGGACCAACACUGACACUGAUGAGCGAAAGCCAGGGGAGCAAACGGG